Molecule: transfer RNA, 73 nt
Filed under: bacterium
Lineage: Bacteria
Also listed under: 1 other name
Description: tRNA-Ala
Rfam family: tRNA
About the family: Transfer RNA (tRNA) molecules are approximately 80 nucleotides in length. Their secondary structure includes four short double-helical elements and three loops (D, anti-codon, and T loops). Further hydrogen bonds mediate the characteristic L-shaped molecular structure. tRNAs have two regions of fundamental functional importance: the anti-codon, which is responsible for specific mRNA codon recognition, and the 3' end, to which the tRNAs corresponding amino acid is attached (by aminoacyl-tRNA synthetases). tRNAs cope with the degeneracy of the genetic code in two manners: having more than one tRNA (with a specific anti-codon) for a particular amino acid; and 'wobble' base-pairing, i.e. permitting non-standard base-pairing at the 3rd anti-codon position.
Source: RNAcentral
GGGGCUGUAGCUCAGCUGGGAGAGCGCUACAUUCGCAUUGUAGAGGCCGUCGGUUCGAUCCCGAUCAGCUCCA